Molecule: ribosomal RNA, 495 nt
Filed under: uncultured Chloroflexota bacterium
Lineage: Bacteria; Bacillati; Chloroflexota
Description: bacterial SSU rRNA
Rfam family: Bacterial small subunit ribosomal RNA
Source: RNAcentral
UGCGCCUUGCCAGCCCGCUCAGAAACUCAAAGGAAUGACGGGGGCCCGCACAAGCAGCGGAGCGUGUGGUUUAAUUCGAUGAUACGCGAAGAACCUUACCUGGUCUUGACAUGCACGUGGUACUGAUUCGAAAGAUGAGGGACCCUUCGGGGAGCGUGCACAGGUGUUGCACGGCCGUCGUCAGCUCGUGCCGUGAGGUGUUGGGUUAAGUCUCGCAACGAGCGCAACCCCCGUCGCCAGUUGUAUUUUUCUGGCGAGACUGCCGGGAAAUCCCCGGAGGAAGGAGGGGAUGAUGUCAGGUCAGCGUGGCCCUUACGACCAGGGCUACACACACGCUACAAUGGGCAGUACAACGGGCAGCCAAGCCGCGAGGCGGAGCUAAUCCCAUCAAAGCUGUCCUCAGUUCGGAUUGCAGGCUGCAACUCGCCUGCAUGAAGCCGGAGUUGCUAGUAACCGCAGGUCAGCACUACUGCGGUGAAUACGUUCCCGGGCCUU